Molecule: ribosomal RNA, 262 nt
Filed under: uncultured bacterium
Lineage: Bacteria
Description: partial 16S ribosomal RNA
Rfam family: Bacterial small subunit ribosomal RNA
Source: RNAcentral
UACGGAGGGUGCAAGCGUUAUCCGGAAUCACUGGGUUUAAAGGGUGCGUAGGCGGCGUUGUAAGUCAGUCGUGAAAUCGCUGGGCUUAACCCAUGCAAUUGCGAUUGAUACUGCGAUGCUUGAAUCAAGUUUAGGCAAGCGGAAUGUGGCAUGUAGCGGUGAAAUGCAUAGAUAUGCCAUAGAACACCGAUUGCGAAGGCAGCUUGCUGGGCUUCGAUUGACGCUGAGGCACGAAAGCGUGGGGAGCAAACAGGAUUAGAAA